GCUAGCAUUCCUCAUGAGCAGGAACUGGCAUUCACUUUAUAGGAAAGCUGUAAUAUAAUGUAGCUGCAACAUAACUUGCCAGGAAAGGCUGGUUAAGACACAAGCAUGUGUUUUGUAAGCCAAGUAUUGUGAAACUCAACAUACAAGGAGGGUGGGAAGUUUCUCCUACUCCACCAAUUUCUGCAAGUGCCAAAGAAUUUACUUUGUGCCUGGUUCCAGUUUGAGCUGCAGGCAGAAUCUGGUGAACAGAGUGAAAUACUGUGAGGAACAUGGAUUUCUGACCUGACAGUAAAUGUGACAAACCAGUAAUCUUAAUGGGAUAUUUUGUUUCUUGAGGUGACCAAAAAGGAUGGAGAGAAGCUCUGCUUUGGGGUGUUUAUGCACACUGAAUCUCUGAGAUUGCUUUGCUUGGGUAAGAAAGACAGGCAUACACCUGAGCAGCAUCUACCCAACUUAUUAGGGGAAUUUAAACAUACAGAAAUGGAUAAAGGGAAGGAGAUGAAUUUGGGACAUUCUGCCACAACAGCUGCUGGCCUGUCUGCUCAAAUAAAUAAGACCAGUAAAUGUCUUGAGGGCAAAUCAAAUAGAAUCUCAAUGCAAUAAUAUGUAAAUAGCUACUGGGUAUUUGGCAUGCUUGUGUUUCCUAAGUUCUCCUAGUUUGUGUUGAGUGCACCCUUCCCUCACUUGAUUUCAACAGGCAAAACACAUACAAGCCACAGCUUCUUACAGUGAUGGUAAGGCAUAACAUCUCAAUAACGUCUCAAUAUUGGUGUGCCCAGAGCCUUUGUCCAGGGAAAGAAAGUGAUGAUGGACUGAAAAUUAACAAGAGCACUGUAGUGUAUAUUUCUGGGUCUAUGACUGUGUCCUGCUUAGGGAAUCAGAUAAGGUUGAUUUGCACAUUCCUUCUGUUAAUGGCUUUGUGAUCCUGCAGCAAACUCAAUUUGUAUCCAUAAUGAAAACUUACAAUGUUAGUGGCAGUAUUAAUAUCAGUGUAAUUAAUAAUGCUAUUUAUAUCAUCAAGAGACAGUCACUAAUUAUGCAGAAGGAUUUAUAUCUAACAUCAGAUUAACCUUCUCUCACCAGGCAACAGCUUGAACUUGUUUUCACCCAAGUAACUCAUUAAGGGAGAUGCUCAGAAGCAUUGCCAUGGGCGCAGAGAGCUGCUGCAUGAGGGCAACUGAAAUGUCAUCGUCAACUGCAGCACUGCCAGAUCAGUUCAAAAAGACCUGAAAAUGGGAUGGAAAUGGAAUUGCACUUUAGGGCAACAAGAGGUCACAGCACUUGUGUGAGUAUCAGUUCUCAUAUCUGAUGAGAAUACGGGUUGCUCUGUUUGUGUUCCCUGUCUUUGGCCGCGUUCUGUGUGAUACUGUUCUGUACCACCAAUAACAUUUUGAAUGUCACUGGUGCAUUUCUGGAGCUGAGGUGCCUUUGCAGGGCAGUGUCACUGGGGAACUGAGUGCUUCCAUUCAUUUACAAACCAGAAAAUAAUCUGCAGCUUUUGGAGCUGGAAAUAUCCCCAAACGUAUAUGAUGUGUUUAGUCCAGUUGCAUUAUGCAUGUCCUUAGCUACGCUGAGGGCUUCUCAGGAGGUGCAGCUAUCACCACAGUCUAGACAACUACUUAUUCUUCCCUCUGAUACACAAGAAGAUUUCAGAGAAGGCAGUUUCAGCCUGCUGUCUUUGGGUUCAGCCUGAUCUGAGCAAACACUCCAGGAGGGGUGAAGGACACCCGAGGGCUCUGUGCAGUUUGCAGUUCACCGUGGAGAGCUGUAAAUUUCCCAUGUUAAUCCCCUGCCAACCAGAUUAAAAGCUUUUCAGAUCCUUUGCAGCUUUUAUUUUUCUUUUUUAAGAAACAACCUGUAGAGUUCUGUAAUCUCCACUGAAAACAGUAGCAUUCAGUGAGGUGAGAGGG
Pezoporus flaviventris is the source of this 1910-nucleotide long non-coding RNA. RefSeq lists it as uncharacterized. NCBI's taxonomy places the organism in Eukaryota, Metazoa, Chordata, Aves, Psittaciformes, Psittacidae. The record is from RefSeq and is a predicted model, not a curated record. The transcript has 3 exons.